UGUCUAGUAUAAGCAAUUAUACCGUGAAACUGCGAAUGGCUCAUUAAAUCAGUUAUCGUUUAUUUGAUAGUACCUUACUACUUGGAUAACCGUGGUAAUUCUAGAGCUAAUACAUGCUAAAAACCCCAACUUCGGAAGGGGUGUAUUUAUUAGAUAAAAAACCAAUGCCCUUCGGGGCUCUUUGGUGAUUCAUGAUAACUUCUCAGAUCGCAUGGCCUUGCGCCGGCGACGGUUCAUUCAAAUUUCUGCCCUAUCAACUUUCGAUGGUAAGGUAUUGGCUUACCAUGGUUUCAACGGGUAACGGGGAAUUAGGGUUCGAUUCCGGAGAGGGAGCCUGAGAAACGGCUACCACAUCCAAGGAAGGCAGCAGGCGCGCAAAUUACCCAAUCCCGACACGGGGAGGUAGUGACAAUAAAUACUGAUACAGGGCUCUUUUGGGUCUUGUAAUUGGAAUGAGUACAAUUUAAACCUCUUAACGAGGAACAAUUGGAGGGCAAGUCUGGUGCCAGCAGCCGCGGUAAUUCCAGCUCCAAUAGCGUAUAUUAAAGUUGUUGCAGUUAAAAAGCUCGUAGUUGAACCUUGGGCCUGGCUGGCAGGUCCGCCUCACCGCGUGUACUUGACCGGCCGGGCCUUCUCUUCUGGAGAACCUCAUGCCCUUUACUGGGCGUGUUGGGGACCAGGACUUUUACUUUGAAAAAAUUAGAGUGUUCAAAGCAGGCCUUUGCUCGAAUAUGUUAGCAUGGAAUAAUAGAAUAGGACGUGCGGUCCUAUUUUGUUGGUUUCUAGGACCGCCGUAAUGAUUAAUAGGGACAGUCGGGGGCAUCAGUAUUCAAUUGUCAGAGGUGAAAUUCUUGGAUUUAUUGAAGACUAACUACUGCGAAAGCAUUUGCCAAGGAUGUUUUCAUUAAUCAGUGAACGAAAGUUAGGGGAUCGAAGACGAUCAGAUACCGUCGUAG
Molecule: ribosomal RNA, 956 nt
Filed under: Neohelicascus elaterascus
Lineage: Eukaryota; Fungi; Ascomycota; Dothideomycetes; Pleosporales; Morosphaeriaceae
Description: SSU rRNA
Rfam family: Eukaryotic small subunit ribosomal RNA
Source: RNAcentral